GAUGAACGCUGGCGGCGUGCCUAACACAUGCAAGUCGAGCGAACCCUUCGGGGUUAGCGGCGGACGGGUGAGUAACGCGUGGGUAACCUGCCCUGUACACACGGAUAACAUACCGAAAGGUAUGCUAAUACGGGAUAACAUAUGAGAGUCGCAUGGCUUUUGUAUCAAAGCUCCGGCGGUACAGGAUGGACCCGCGUCUGAUUAGCUAGUUGGUAAGGUAACGGCUUACCAAGGCAACGAUCAGUAGCCGACCUGAGAGGGUGAUCGGCCACAUUGGAACUGAGACACGGUCCAA
Molecule: ribosomal RNA, 295 nt
Filed under: uncultured bacterium
Lineage: Bacteria
Description: partial 16S ribosomal RNA
Rfam family: Bacterial small subunit ribosomal RNA
Source: RNAcentral